This 179-nucleotide non-coding RNA is filed under the name Clostridiales bacterium. RNAcentral describes it as "6S RNA". It matches the Rfam family "6S / SsrS RNA". From Rfam's summary of the family: E. coli 6S RNA was the first non coding RNA to be sequenced, but its function was unknown until recently. It consists of 184 nucleotides that fold into an extended hairpin structure with a large single-stranded internal bulge. The record is from RNAcentral. Lineage: Bacteria; Bacillati; Bacillota; Clostridia; Eubacteriales. RNAcentral also lists the same sequence under 1 other name.
CAUAACCUGAAAUGUACGACAACCCUGUAAUUUUGAACCUACAUUUACUUGAAACGGGAUUCCUAUAUUUCUGUAAUAUGUCAGGCCUCCGUUCGCAGUGGAAGACAAAAAAACAGAUGCGGUUGCCCACCUAGCUGUGGCUAGGAGUCAAAAUACAGGACCGGCAUUUUGGGGAACUA